GACGAACGCUGGCGGCGUGCUUAACACAUGCAAGUCGAACGGAAAGGCUCCAGCUUGCUGGCGUACUCGAGUGGCGAACGGGUGAGUAACACGUGGGUAAUCUGCCCUGCACUCUGGGAUAAGCCUGGGAAACUGGGUCUAGUACUGGAUAUGACCUUUCUCCUUAUGGGGUUUGGUGGAAAGUUUUUCGGUGUAGGAUGAGCCCGCGGCCUAUCAGCUUGUUGGUGGGGUGAUGGCCUACCAAGGCGACGACGGGUAGCCGGCCUGAGAGGGUGAUCGGCCACAUUGGGACUGAGAUACGGCCCAGACUCCUACGGGAGGCAGCAGUGGGGAAUAUUGCACAAUGGGCGGAAGCCUGAUGCAGCGACGCCGCGUGAGGGAUGACGGCCUUCGGGUUGUAAACCUCUUUCAGCAGGGACGAAGCGUAAGUGACGGUACCUGCAGAAGAAGCACCGGCUAACUAUGUG
RNAcentral lists this ribosomal RNA (467 nucleotides) under uncultured bacterium. Its description in RNAcentral is "partial 16S ribosomal RNA". It matches the Rfam family "Bacterial small subunit ribosomal RNA", at positions 28 to 507 of the family's 1533-position model. The record is from RNAcentral.